This 440-nucleotide ribosomal RNA is filed under the name uncultured bacterium. RNAcentral describes it as "partial 16S ribosomal RNA". It matches the Rfam family "Bacterial small subunit ribosomal RNA", at positions 338 to 795 of the family's 1533-position model. The record is from RNAcentral.
CCUAUGGGAGGCAGCAGUGGGGAAUAUUGCACAAUGGGGGAAACCCUGAUGCAGCGACGCCGCGUGAGCGAUGAAGUAUUUCGGUAUGUAAAGCUCUAUCAGCAGGGAAGAAAAUGACGGUACCUGACUAAGAAGCCCCGGCUAACUACGUGCCAGCAGCCGCGGUAAUACGUCGGGGGCAAGCGUUAUCCGGAUUUACUGGGGGUGAAGGGAGCGUCGACGGCGGUGCAAGCCAGAUGUGAAAGCCCGGGGCUCAACCCCGGGACUGCAUGUGGAACUGUGUGGCUGGAGUGUCGGAGAGGCAGGCGGAAUUCCUAGUGUAGCGGUGAAAUGCGGAGAUAUUAGGAGGAACACCAGUGGCGAAGGCGGCCUGCUGGACGAUGACUGACGUUGAGGCUCGAAAGCGUGGGGAGCAAACAGGAGUAGAUACCCUGGUAGUC